CAUAGGUUUGGUCCCAGCCUUCCUGUUGACUCUUAAUAAACUUACACAUGCAAGCAUCUACACCCCAGUGAGAAUGCCCUCUAGGUUGUUAAAACUAAGAGGAGCUGGCAUCAAGCACACACCCCGUAGCUCACGACGCCUUGCUUAACCACACCCCCACGGGAAACAGCAGUGACAAAAAUUAAGCCAUAAACGAAAGUUUGACUAAGUUAUAUUAAUCAGGGUUGGUAAAUCUCGUGCCAGCCACCGCGGUCAUACGAUUAACCCAAGCCAACAGGAAUACGGCGUAAAACGUGUUAAAGCACCACAUCAAAUAGGGUUAAAUUUUAAUUAAGCUGUAAAAAGCCAUGAUUAAAAUAAAAAUAAAUGACGAAAGUAACCCUACAACAGCCGAUGCACUAUAGCUAAGACCCAAACUGGGAUUAGAUACCCCACUAUGCUUAGCCCUAAACACAGAUAAUUACAUAAACAAAAUUA
This 477-nucleotide ribosomal RNA is filed under the name Bison bison (American bison). RNAcentral's name for it is "partial small subunit ribosomal RNA". The record is from RNAcentral. Lineage: Eukaryota; Metazoa; Chordata; Mammalia; Artiodactyla; Bovidae.